Molecule: long non-coding RNA, 709 nt
Filed under: Citrus sinensis (sweet orange)
Lineage: Eukaryota; Viridiplantae; Streptophyta; Magnoliopsida; Sapindales; Rutaceae
Description: long non-coding RNA (CSIN_LNC001459)
Source: RNAcentral
CAAAACAUAGCUUGCUAAUUAAUUAAUAAAACCCUUGGAAAAUAUGAUCUUAACAGAAGUUUAAUUUUCCUUUUUCUCUCCUAGAUUUUUCAAGUCUACUCGGCCUCCGUCCGAAUUGUGGUACAAAUCCUAAAGGAAGCCUGGAAGCCUUCAAGAAAAAUGAUAAAUCUAAAUCUAACUGAUAUAUGUACAAUUUUGAUGAGCAAAGAGACAGAUGUUGUUUUCAGUAUAGAAUUUGGAAAAAAGUAGUUGAGUACUCACAGCAAAGCCAAUCAUGGCAACACGACCAACAAAGAGCUCAUUUUGCUUUGUAAAACCAAAUCCUCCAGAGGUCCCAAAGAUACCAUCCUCAACUUUUGGCUUUGAUUCAACCUGUAAGUUUAAAUUAAAAUAUACCCAUAAACAACUAGCUAAGGGCCAAUAUUAAAUCAAAACAAUCUUACCAACAAUAAAAACGGAAACAAGAAAACCAAAUUAAACCUUCUUGGUCUUGGGUGGAGCUUUGGUUUUAGAUUUGAAGAGGGCAACAGUAGAAAAAGCUUUAGAUGAUGAAGAAGCCGCAGCAGCAGUUAAAGAUUCAUUAGAGAGUGGGUUGAACAUAAGAUGAGAGAAUGGCUUAGGUCUCAGCAUCUGCGUUUGAAAUGUGACUAAAGAGUCUCUUUUCAAGUUUCCUGCGUGGCUAGUGGAAACCCCAGACAUGAGCAGCAUA